Long non-coding RNA from Catharus ustulatus (Swainson's thrush), 733 nucleotides. RefSeq lists it as uncharacterized. The transcript has 5 exons. NCBI's taxonomy places the organism in Eukaryota, Metazoa, Chordata, Aves, Passeriformes, Turdidae. The record is from RefSeq and is a predicted model, not a curated record.
GGAGCUCCGCCGGAACGCGCGGUCCGCGGGCGGGGCCGGGCCGGGCAGCACCGGCUGUGACGUGACACCGCCACGGGAAGGAAGCGACACAGGCUCGGGAAGCGCUCCCCGGGGGUACUUAUCAGAUUAUCCCCUCUAUGCAGAAAAAUGACAGCAAAACAGUGGAAAUACCUGACUUGCUUUAAAAUGACUGCACUGGAUCUGGAAUAGGCAAGAUACAACAUUUCAGAGCUCAUUUUUUCCAGAGAACAAAGACUGAAGUGUAAAAGAAUCCUGUUGCUGUAGAAGUAAAAACACUAAGAAAUGUCUUUCAAAGUACCAACGUGAACAACAGCAGAGGAGAGCUAAGCACAGACACAUCUGGCAAUGCCUCAGAGUUCCAGACAGCAUCUCCACAUUUUGUUUGCAACCCUAUGUCCAUGAGCUUCAAAUCUCUGAGAUAAAGCAAAGCAAUGAUAGCCGGUAACCAGGAGUACAUAACUGCACUUCAGGCUACUGAACUUACAUUGGAAGGAAUGCAGCAGUAUUUCCUACUUUCGCUUUUCUAGCCUGGCAGGCAUUUCUAGUCUUUCAGACUUCCAGCUUUCUCAGAAAAUGUAGCUGCUAAUACACACCAGUUGUGUUAAAUUGGAAGAACAUCCCCUGAAGUGUUUAAGCUGAAUUCAAAAUGCAAAAGAAGUAAUCUCAAACCACAAUUAUCCUUUGAAAAAAGAGGUAUCUUCUGCUAAUGGCC